RNAcentral lists this ribosomal RNA (481 nucleotides) under uncultured bacterium. RNAcentral describes it as "SSU rRNA". It matches the Rfam family "Bacterial small subunit ribosomal RNA", at positions 26 to 521 of the family's 1533-position model. The record is from RNAcentral.
AGAACGAACGCUGGCGGCAUGCCUAACACAUGCAAGUCGAACGCUUCCGGGGCUUCGGUCGCGGAGGAGUGGCGCACGGGUGAGUAGCGCGUGGGAACCUGCCCUGUUGUGGGGGAUAACCGAGGGAAACUUCGGCUAAUACCGCAUACGCCCCGGGACUUGGUCUUCGGAUUAGGUCUGGGGGGAAAGAUUGAUCGCAGCAGGAGGGGCCCGCGUCGGAUUAGCUGGUUGGUGGGGUAACGGCUCACCAAGGCGAUGAUCCGUAGCUGGUCUGAGAGGAUGAUCAGCCACACUGGGACUGAGACACGGCCCAGACUCCUACGGGAGGCAGCAGUGGGGAAUAUUGGACAAUGGGGGCAACCCUGAUCCAGCAAUGCCGCGUGAGUGAUGAAGGCCUUAGGUUGUAAAGCUCUUUCGCCCGCGACGAUGAUGACGGUAGCGGGAGAAGAGCCUGGCUAACGUUCGCGCCAGCAGCCGCGGU